RNAcentral lists this ribosomal RNA (254 nucleotides) under uncultured bacterium. RNAcentral describes it as "partial 16S ribosomal RNA". It matches the Rfam family "Bacterial small subunit ribosomal RNA", at positions 524 to 776 of the family's 1533-position model. The record is from RNAcentral.
UACGAAGGUCCCAAGCGUUGUUCGGAAUCACUGGGCGUAAAGGGAGCGUAGGCGGCGUGGUAAGUCAGAUGUGAAAUCCCGGGGCUCAACCCCGGAACUGCAUCCGAUACUGCCAUGCUAGAGGAUUGGAGAGGUAGCUGGAAUUCUUGGUGUAGCAGUGAAAAUGCGUAGAGAUCAAGAGGAACACUCGUGGCGAAAGCGAGCUACUGGACAAUUCCUGACGCUGAGGCUCGAAGGCUAGGGUAGCGAAAGGG